AAAGAUCUACAUUCAUAGAUGUGCUUUAUUACGAUAUGUCCUAUUCACAAUAUCAACCUUCUCCAACUAUCUAUAGCUCAUCAUUUGAAGAGAAGGUUCUGCAAGUAUUCGAUAGGAUAGAAAGUACCAAUCAGAUCUUUCACUCCUCUACACAAUCCUUAAUCGAACUAGAAAUUCAAAUCGAUCAACCAACAAUCGUAUUUAGUAGGGA
RNAcentral lists this long non-coding RNA (211 nucleotides) under Elaeis guineensis (African oil palm). RNAcentral's name for it is "long non-coding RNA (EGUI_LNC046536)". Lineage: Eukaryota; Viridiplantae; Streptophyta; Magnoliopsida; Arecales; Arecaceae. The record is from RNAcentral.